This 366-nucleotide ribosomal RNA is filed under the name uncultured organism. Its description in RNAcentral is "bacterial SSU rRNA". It matches the Rfam family "Bacterial small subunit ribosomal RNA", at positions 526 to 896 of the family's 1533-position model. The record is from RNAcentral.
CGUAGGGUGCAAGCGUUAAUCGGAAUUAUUGGGUUUAAAGGGUGCGUAGGCGGUUUUCUAAGUCAGCAGUGAAAUACGGCAGCUCAACUGUCGAGGUGCUGUUGAUACUGGGAACUUGAGUACUGAUGAGGUAGGCGGAAUGGACGGUGUAGCGGUGAAAUGCUUAGAGAUCGUCCAGAACACCGAUAGCGAAGGCAGCUUACUAAGGAGUAACUGACGCUGAGGCACGAAAGUGUGGGGAUCAAACAGGAUUAGAUACCCUGGUAGUCCACACUGUAAACGAUGAUUACUCGAUGUGUGCGAUACACGGCACGCGUCUUAGCAAAAGCGAUAAGUAAUCCACCUGGGGAUACGCCGGCAACGGUG